RNAcentral lists this ribosomal RNA (347 nucleotides) under Euphlyctis cyanophlyctis (skittering frog). RNAcentral's name for it is "partial 12S ribosomal RNA". It matches the Rfam family "Bacterial small subunit ribosomal RNA", at positions 884 to 1401 of the family's 1533-position model. Lineage: Eukaryota; Metazoa; Chordata; Amphibia; Anura; Dicroglossidae. The record is from RNAcentral.
GAGCCUUAGCUUAAAACCCAAAGGACUUGCACGGUGUCCCACCCAACUAGAGGAGCCUGUUCUAUAAUCGAUAAUCCCCGCUCCACCCAACCCCCCCUUGCCUUCAGCCUGUAUACCUCCGUCGCAAGUCCGCCGUAUGAAUGUUCUUCAGCGGAUUAAAGGAUUUUUUAUCAAUACGUCAGGUCAAGGUGCAGCCCACGGGGUGGCAAGCAAUGGGCUACAAUUUCUAGCCUAGAACAUACGAAAUACUGUAUGAAACACAGUUAUGAAGGAGGAUUUAGUAGUAAAAAGAAAAUAGCGCGUUCUUUUUAACACGGCCCUGGGACGUGUACACACCGCCCGUCACC